Molecule: unclassified non-coding RNA, 304 nt
Filed under: uncultured fungus
Lineage: Eukaryota; Fungi
Description: sequence contains ITS1
Rfam family: 5.8S ribosomal RNA (bases 1-104)
Source: RNAcentral
GAAAUGCGAUAAGUAAUGUGAAUUGCAGAUACCGUGAAUCAUCAAAUCUUUGAACGCACAUUGCACUGCCUGGAACUCCGGGCAGUAUACCUGUUUGAGCAUCAGUAACGCUCUCCAGCUACCAUAGAACAUUGAACAUGUAUUUUGUAGCGGGAGGAUGUGAGUGUUCACGCAGCAAUGCGUGUCGCUUUAAAUGCGAGAUUGAUAGGAGCGACAGAGUUAAUAGGCUCGCCUGUGCUGUAACUCCAUGCACACAACAACAAAAACAGAUCUCAAAUCAGGUAAGACCACCCGCUGAACUUAA